Talpa occidentalis (Iberian mole) is the source of this 1506-nucleotide long non-coding RNA. RefSeq lists it as uncharacterized. NCBI's taxonomy places the organism in Eukaryota, Metazoa, Chordata, Mammalia, Eulipotyphla, Talpidae. The record is from RefSeq and is a predicted model, not a curated record. The transcript has 5 exons.
ACCGCGCUGAGCGUUUGGGGGUGGGCCCUCGGCUGCCCGCCCGGCGUUCAGAAAAACAAAUCACCUUACUCCGGGGGAAAUCACGGCCUCGCGAGGACCCGCCUUCGGUACUCGAUUGAGGAAGGACAUUAAUAAUGCUCUGCCAUCAACUACUUCACUACACACUUCAGAACAGAGCAGAUGACAUCAAGGAUCUGUGGGUAAACUGUAAAUGAAAAUCAGGAUUCUGCCCCCUAUGAGUUCAGUAUGUUGCUGUAUGAUUUUCGAAGAACUGCAACACAUAAUUAAUCAUGGCAAUUAAGAAGUUAUAAUUGCCUCUCUCUACCUUAUGAGAUAUAGUAGCACUGAUGAAUAUAAACCCUGGUAAUACAGACAUCAGUUAAAAUUCAUGGUCACCUUACGGAGUAACACCUAUGGAAGAGGUCCCAGCAAAGGCCCAGAAAAGGAUAAGGAGAAACUUAACCUCUAUGCCCCAAAUGAGGUCUGAGGAUUAUGAGUGGGUCUCUCCAUGGGCUCACAAUUUCUUCCCUGAGGAAAGUAAUAAAAGGAGUUAGAAGACCUUCGCCCCUUCUGAUAUUAACCCAGUCUGCUGGGAGAGGCUCUGCUGUAGAUGUUGAGCAAGUCCUUCAUCAUUUACUCUCACCUCUGAAACUCCAAACCAUUUGGAAAAUUAAAAAAUCCUACCUUUAAGUAGAGGGCAGAAGCAGUGCAGGUCCACAAGCCAUUGGAAAGCACGGCUUCCUUUAAGGAAAUUUGCAGACUUAGUUACCUCAUGAAAUACUGAACUGCACACCAAGUGAAGAGAUGAGGAUGACCUCUUCUGCUCGUACUCCCACAGCUCCUGCCUGGCACCAAAGAAAAUAAAUUCCUCCACUGAGUGUUCUUCAUCCAGUCAAUCCUGCUUCUCCUUGGACAUAGCAUUACUGGGAAGGAAUUCAACCAAGCUAUAAAAAUAACCCAUCCCAACCUAUACCAACCCCCACCAACAGUCAAGUUCGUCAGUGUAAUUUGCCAGAAACUCUUCUGCCAAUUUAACCUCCUCAUUCCUACAGCUCUGAGCUAUCAUUCCUGGCACUCUUUGCAGACUUCUUUCAUUUUUUAGAUUUCUGAUCAAAUACUACCUCCCAGAAAGGCCUUUCCUGCCCAUUCUAUGUAAAAUAACAAAAAUCCACUUCUCUGUCCUUUUCAUAUGCUUUAUUUUUCUUUGUAGCCCUCACCUUAUUUUUAAAUUAUUUGUCUCUUUGUACUAGAAUAUAAGCUCUUUGAGGCCCCCCUGGUGGCGGAGGCAGUUGAGCACAGCGCUGUGAAGCUGUCUGCAGCCUCUGCAGUGCCGGUUCUAUCCCCGCUGGCCUCCGAGCAACCCACAGGGCGAGCAACCCACAGGGCGAGCAGACCUCUCCUAUCUCUCCUGUUGCUCCCCUGAGCAGUAUAUUUCGUCAGUCUCCCCGUUCUGUUCCCCACUCUAUCUCUGGUGAAUCCUCUCACCCUCCUGCGCAUCUGGCCUGU